UACGUAGGUGGCGAGCGUUGUCCGGAUUUACUGGGCGUAAAGAGCGCGUAGGCGGCUGGUCAAGUCCGAUGUGAAAGCUCCCGGCUUAACUGGGAAAUUGCAUCGGAAACUGAUCGGCUGGAAGGUGGGAGAGGGUAGCGGAAUUCCCGGUGUAGUGGUGAAAUGCGUAGAUAUCGGGAGGAACACCAGUGGCGAAAGCGGCUACCUGGCCCAUUCUUGACGCUGAGGCGCGAAAGCUAGGGGAGCAAACGGG
RNAcentral lists this ribosomal RNA (253 nucleotides) under uncultured bacterium. Its description in RNAcentral is "partial 16S ribosomal RNA". It matches the Rfam family "Bacterial small subunit ribosomal RNA", at positions 524 to 776 of the family's 1533-position model. The record is from RNAcentral.